RNAcentral lists this non-coding RNA (104 nucleotides) under Anditalea andensis. RNAcentral describes it as "SAM-I sequence". It matches the Rfam family "SAM riboswitch aptamer (S box leader)". Rfam says of the family: The SAM riboswitch is found upstream of a number of genes which code for proteins involved in methionine or cysteine biosynthesis in Gram-positive bacteria. The record is from Rfam by way of RNAcentral. Lineage: Bacteria; Pseudomonadati; Bacteroidota; Cytophagia; Cytophagales; Cytophagaceae.
UGCUUAUCGAGAAAGACCGAGGGAAGGGCCCUAUGACGUCUUAGCAACCUGAAUUAUUACAAGGUGCUAACUCCCAUUUCGGAAAAGCCGAAAAAAGAUGAGCC